RNAcentral lists this ribosomal RNA (432 nucleotides) under uncultured bacterium. RNAcentral describes it as "partial 16S ribosomal RNA". It matches the Rfam family "Bacterial small subunit ribosomal RNA", at positions 29 to 507 of the family's 1533-position model. The record is from RNAcentral.
AGCGAACGCUGGCGGCAGGCCUAACACAUGCAAGUCGAACGAACUCUUCGGAGUUAGUGGCGGACGGGUGAGUAACACGUGGGAACGUGCCUUUUGGUUCGGAAUAACUCAGGGAAACUUGUGCUAAUACCGAAUGUGCCCUUCGGGGGAAAGAUUUAUCGCCAUUAGAGCGGCCCGCGUCUGAUUAGCUAGUUGGUGAGGUAACGGCUCACCAAGGCGACGAUCAGUAGCUGGUCUGAGAGGAUGACCAGCACACUGGGACUGAGACACGGCCCAGACUCCUACGGGAGGCAGCAGUGGGGAAUCUUGCGCAAUGGGCGAAAGCCUGACGCAGCCAUGCCGCGUGAAUGAUGAAGGUCUUAGGAUUGUAAAAUUCUUUCACCGGGGACGAUAAUGACGGUACCCGGAGAAGAAGCCCCGGCUAACUUCGUG